AACGCUGGCGGCGUGCCUCAGACAUGCAAGUCGAACGAUUAAACUUCUCUUCGGGGAGGAUAUAAAGUGGCGCGCGGGUGAGUAACACGUAGGUAAUCUCCCUUUGAGUGGGGAAUAACGUUCGGAAACGAACGCUAAUACCGCAUAAUGCAGCGCCAUCGCAAGAUGACAGUUGUUAAAGGAGCAAUUCGCUUAAAGAGGAGCCUGCGGCAGAUUAGCUAGUUGGUAAGGUAAUGGCUUACCAAGGCUACGAUCUGUAACCGGCCUGAGAGGGUGGUCGGUCACACUGACACUGAAUAACGGGUCAGACUCCUACGGGAGGCAGCAGUCGGGAAUUUUGGGCAAUGGGCGAAAGCCUGACCCAGCAACGCCGCGUGAAGGAUGAAGUCUUUCGGGAUGUAAACUUCGUAAGAAUAGGAAGAAUAAAUGACGGUACUAUUUGUAAGGUCC
This 450-nucleotide ribosomal RNA is filed under the name Acidobacteria bacterium UCL-113. RNAcentral describes it as "bacterial SSU rRNA". It matches the Rfam family "Bacterial small subunit ribosomal RNA", at positions 32 to 494 of the family's 1533-position model. Lineage: Bacteria; Pseudomonadati; Acidobacteriota. The record is from RNAcentral.